RNAcentral lists this long non-coding RNA (247 nucleotides) under Manihot esculenta (cassava). RNAcentral's name for it is "long non-coding RNA (MESC_LNC012991)". Lineage: Eukaryota; Viridiplantae; Streptophyta; Magnoliopsida; Malpighiales; Euphorbiaceae. The record is from RNAcentral.
CAUGCUCUCAUGUAAUGCAACACAUCACAACUAAUCACAUCAAGGAUGGUAUUGUCACCAAUAGUCCUCUACAUUCCAAAGUGCCGGGACGUAGAAUGGGUCAACCGAUCUUUCUCUUAAACAUAUCAUAACAUAACAUUCCAAGAUGCCGGGACGUAGAAUGGGUCAACCGGUCUUUCUCUUACAUAGUGCCGGGACGUAGAAUGGGUCAACCGGACUUCCAUACCAUAUCAUGUCGUAUCAUCAU